GAUGAACGCUGGCGGCGUGCCUAAUACAUGCAAGUCGAGCGAACAGACGAGGAGCUUGCUCCCCUGACGUUAGCGGCGGACGGGUGAGUAACACGUGGAUAACCUACCUAUAAGACUGGGAUAACUUCGGGAAACCGGAGCUCAUACCGGAUAAUAUAUUGAACCGCAUGGUUCAAUAGUGAAAGACGGUUUUGCUGUCACUUAUAGAUGGAUCCGCGCCGCAUUAGCUAGUUGGUAAGGUAACGGCUUACCAAGGCGACGAUGCGUAGCCGACCUGAGAGGGUGAUCGGCCACACUGGAACUGAGACACGGUCCAGACUCCUACGGGAGGCAGCAGUAGGGAAUCUUCCGCAAUGGGCGAAAGCCUGACGGAGCAACGCCGCGUGAGUGAUGAAGGUCUUCGGAUCGUAAAACUCUGUUAUUAGGGAAGAACAAAUGUGUAAGUAACUAUGCACGUCUUGACGGUACCUAAUCAGAAAGCCACGGCUAACUACGUG
Molecule: ribosomal RNA, 497 nt
Filed under: uncultured bacterium
Lineage: Bacteria
Description: partial 16S ribosomal RNA
Rfam family: Bacterial small subunit ribosomal RNA
Source: RNAcentral